UGGAAAGGCGGCUGCGCUUGUCUGUGAUAACCUUGUGCCGAUCGCACGUCCCCGUGACGGCGACAACGCAUUCGGAUGUCUGCCCUAUCAACUUUCGAUGCAAUUUUCCUCGCCUACCAUGGUGACCACGGGUAACGGGGAAUCAGGGUUAGAUUCCAGAGAGGGAGCCUGAGAAACAGCUACCACAUGCAAGGAAGGCAGCAGGCGUGCAAAUACCCACCCCUGACGCGGGGUGAAGUAGUGACG
This is a non-coding RNA of Pelobates cultripes (western spadefoot toad), 246 nucleotides long. The record is from the annotation of a GenBank genome assembly. Lineage: Eukaryota; Metazoa; Chordata; Amphibia; Anura; Pelobatidae.